GAGAGAGAGAGAGAGAGAGAGCAGGGCUGCUGUGCUCUCAGGAGCACGAAGGCCUUCGUGCUCCUGAGUCGUUUUCGAUGAUGGAAUUUUCGAAUCGACGAUCAGCUCCGUUAGACUUGAUCUAGUGCAUUUGAAGUUUCUAGAAAAUAAUUUUUGCGAUUUUUUGAUAUCAUUUACCUAGUGAUCGAAAGGAUUCAAAAUUCAUAAUUUUUAAUGGUUGAUAUCUGCCGUUUUCAAGUUUAACGGUGUAGAAUUAUUCAAAUUAGAUGAAAUUUUGAUACAAAAUUUUUUAUACUAUCUAUAAUAAAAUCAAUAUUUAUGAUCGAAAAUUUUAGUGCUAUAUAACUACUUUUUUUAGGAUUUUUAUUUUCAGCCGUUAAAAAUUAUUGAUUUUGAUCCUUUUGAUUGCUAGGUAAAUGAUAUCGAAAAAUCGCAAAAAUUAUUUUCUAGAAACUUCAAAUAUGCUAGAUCAAGUUUAACGGAGCCGAUCGUCGAUUUGGAAACUCCAUCAUCGAAAACGGCUCAGGAGCACGGAGGCCUCCGUGCUCCUAAGAGCACCGCAGCCCUGCUCUAUAUAUAUAUUUAAGAAAUUAUAUAUUCGUAUUCGUAUUUUUUACGAAAUUAUAUUUUCUUAAAAAAUACGAUUGUAUUAUUUAAGAAAUUAUAUUCGUAUUCGUAUUUUUUUUAUUUUUUGAAUGGGAAUUCAUAUACGAAUAUGUGUGAAAUACUAAAUUUUUAAAAUU
This 743-nucleotide long non-coding RNA is filed under the name Ananas comosus (pineapple). RNAcentral's name for it is "long non-coding RNA (ACOM_LNC001153)". The record is from RNAcentral. Lineage: Eukaryota; Viridiplantae; Streptophyta; Magnoliopsida; Poales; Bromeliaceae.